UACGUAGGGUGCGAGCGUUGUCCGGAAUUAUUGGGCGUAAAGAGCUUGUAGGCGGUUUGUCGCGUCUGCUGUGAAAUUUCGGGGCUCAACCCCGAACUUGCAGUGGGUACGGGCAGACUAGAGUGUGGUAGGGGGAGACUGGAAUUCCUGGUGUAGCGGUGGAAUGCGCAGAUAUCAGGAGGAACACCGAUGGCGAAGGCAGGUCUCUGGGCCAUUACUGACACUGAGAAGCGGAAAGCAUGGGGAGCGAACAGG
Molecule: ribosomal RNA, 255 nt
Filed under: uncultured bacterium
Lineage: Bacteria
Description: partial 16S ribosomal RNA
Rfam family: Bacterial small subunit ribosomal RNA
Source: RNAcentral